This is a ribosomal RNA of Fukomys damarensis (Damara mole-rat), 119 nucleotides long. Lineage: Eukaryota; Metazoa; Chordata; Mammalia; Rodentia; Bathyergidae. The record is from Ensembl.
GUCUAUGGCCAUACCACCCUGAAUGUGCCCGAUCUCAUCUGAUCUUGGAAGCUAAGCAGGGCUGGGCCUGGUUAGUACUUGGAAGGGUCACAAAUACCAGCGAACAUGAUUCUUAGAAG